GAGCUUCAGCCUACUAACCGCAUUCACAGAGAGAAUAUUUGAACAGCUUGCAGAUGAUGUAGUCUUUGGUUGCUUCAUGCUCCUGGAUGCCAGACACAAAAUCUUCUUGUGUCUCAAUAUGGUCCAGGGGAUUUUCAUGAGAAAGACUACAAAAAGGGUGCUGACCCACAUAGGAGAAGUAUUCGGGUUUUAUAUCAGCCCCAUGUGUUACUGGAGGUUGAAUCGCAGACCUGUUGGUAUAGAACUAACGAGACCUGAUCAAUUUGUCAUCGUUCUCUGUCGAAAAUCUUUAGCAUCCGAGUAGGAGCAGAUGGCUCAGGGAUUGCAGCCCCCUCUCCAUUUAACUUCUAACCUGGUGCAUUACACAAAUGACCCUCGGGAUAACGCAGGUGUCAGCACAAGGAUGGCGACCACGUUUUCUGCUCGCGGGUC
This 432-nucleotide long non-coding RNA is filed under the name Brassica napus (rape). RNAcentral's name for it is "long non-coding RNA (BNAP_LNC000448)". The record is from RNAcentral. Lineage: Eukaryota; Viridiplantae; Streptophyta; Magnoliopsida; Brassicales; Brassicaceae.